AGUAUAUGUGCCAACUCUUGCCACCCAAGUCGUUAAAGGAAUAGAUGCUGGUGUAAAGCCCACUCUGAACUUCAAGGGUUACUUGGUUGGAAAUGGAGUUGCAGAUGAUGUGUUUGAUGGAAAUGCUCUUGUUCCAUUUGCACACGGGAUGGGCCUGAUCUCUGAUGAGCUGUUUCAGGAAGUUGAAGAUACAUGCAAAGGAAACUACUAUGAACCCACUGACAAUGCCUGUGAGGUCAAGCUUGCGAAAGUUGAUGAGUUGGUUGAUGGCUUAA
RNAcentral lists this unclassified non-coding RNA (275 nucleotides) under Hevea brasiliensis (rubber tree). Lineage: Eukaryota; Viridiplantae; Streptophyta; Magnoliopsida; Malpighiales; Euphorbiaceae. The record is from RNAcentral.